GACGAACGCUGGCGGCGUGCUUAACACAUGCAAGUCGAGCGGUAAGGCCCUUCGGGGUACACGAGCGGCGAACGGGUGAGUAACACGUGAGUAAUCUGCCCAUCACUUCGGGAUAACUCCGGGAAACCGGUGCUAAUACCGAAUAUGACCACUUCAGGCAUCUGAUGGUGGUGGAAAGUUCCGGCGGUGAUGGAUGAGCUCGCGGCCUAUCAGCUUGUUGGUGGGGUAAUGGCCUACCAAGGCUUCGACGGGUAGCCGGCCUGAGAGGGUGACCGGCCACACUGGGACUGAGACACGGCCCAGACUCCUACGGGAGGCAGCAGUGGGGAAUAUUGGACAAUGGGCGAAAGCCUGAUCCAGCAACGCCGCGUGAGGGAUGACGGCCUUCGGGUUGUAAACCUCUUUCAGCAGGGACGAAGCGCAAGUGACGGUACCUGCAGAAGAAGCACCGGCCAACUACGUG
Molecule: ribosomal RNA, 463 nt
Filed under: uncultured bacterium
Lineage: Bacteria
Description: partial 16S ribosomal RNA
Rfam family: Bacterial small subunit ribosomal RNA
Source: RNAcentral